UUCUAAGUCAGUUACAGGGUUUAGAAGGUUGGACGUAUCAGUGGAUGAGAUAAGGGAGGGGCACAACAGUGUGCCUGGUAAUGGGGAUUGGGUAGAUUUCAGUGGUAUAAAGAGUGGUAAAAUAGGUGAGGAUGGUGUUAUGUGUUUGAGUGUCUUCGAAGCACCAAUUACCAAAAGCACAAUCAAGUCGAAAGAGAAAAUUUUGCUGGAAAAGAAAUUUGAAUACACUUUUCCAUCCAUUAGCUUAAAUUUUUUUUAUUAUCAAUGAUUUUCCAAAAGUUAAAAAACUACUCCACUAGAGUACAGAUACAAGAAAAUACCUUAAAUUAGUUUCACUUUCUCCUCCAAAUCCAAAUUCAACCAUGGCGAUGAGCAAAGCUGAAACCCUACCUCAAGAAAUCAUAAUUGACAUACUCUCUCGGCUCCCUGCAAAAUUCGUAGGUCAAUACAAGUGCGUAUCAAAUCAGUGGCACAAUUUUCUCUCAGACCCGCAAUUCAUCAAAUUUCACCUCACAAUCCAUGCCCAUAAAGAAGAAAAGAAACUCAUUUAUGUCUCUGCUUCAAACUCUCUUCAUACUAUCACUUUUAACCACAACCCCCAAAAUGGAACAAUUGAUGCCAUUUCAAGAAAACUUAAUUUUCAGCAGCUCUCAUAUAACUGGGUAAGAGUUGUUGGCUCAUGUAAUGGCUUGGUUUUGGUAUUGAAUGAUGAAAUGAUUAAGUAUUUAAUAAACCCCACAACCGUAAAGUACCAUAGAAUUCCAAACUUUCAUUUGGCUAUUCCCUUACCUGGUAGCUGUAGCGUGUAUGGUCUAGGGUAUGAUUUUGCUACUGAUGAUUAUAAGGUGGUUUCUCUUUCUCGAUAUCGAGGGCAUAUUGAAAGUACUUUUGUUGAUGUCUACUCUCUGAGAAUGGGUCUAUGGAAGAGACUUCAGAGUUUACCUCAUUAUCAUGCAGUUCGUAUGCGUGCUUCUGGGGUUUUGGUAAAUGAGGCUUUGCAUUGGUUGGCUAGGAAAGCUCCUGAUUAUUCAUAUGUAAUUGUUGCUUUUGAUUUAAGUAAUGAGAAAUUCUUGGAGGUGCCAACACCUGCUACACUUGAUAACAAUAGUUUUGUGUUUAAUAAGCUUUCGGCUCUUAGAGGGUGUCUUUGUAUGUUAUUUGAUACGUUAGAAAACGAAGUUGAUGUUUGGAUGAUGAGAGAGUAUGGAGAUGAGGAGUCUUGGACUAGAUUUAGGAUUGCUAGACUGGAUUUAGAGUAUGGUUCGGUACCAUUUUGUUCAAUCAGUGAUGAUGAUGUUGUAUUGAAUGUGGAUACGGAGAAGUUGACUAUCUAUAACAUGAAAGAGGAUCAAUGGAGAGAUAUGAAGGUUGAUGGAAUAACUGCCAAGUUUGAAAGAAUUGGAACUUUCAUGGAGAGUCUUGUCUCUCCUAUGUUUAGCAAGGGAACUGAAGGUUACCAUCGUGCUUGAUAUAAUAUGCCGAGAUGAUGUUGUACUCAGGAGUUAAUCUGGUUCUAUGGAAUAGAAAGUAGAACUGUGGACAAAGUCGCAGAGGCUUGGAUCUCAAUAUAUUCUAGUUCCAAGGAUGUUACUCCAGCGGUUUCUUUUCCUCUUUGUCCAAGAAACCUCGAGUAUAUUCGAUCCUUUCUUCUUGAUUUUUAUACUCUCUUUUCACCAGAAUUAACCAUGGUGGCCCAACAUGCUAAAUGCGAAGAGGCACAGGUUUGAAGAUCCGGCUGAAAUCGAGCUCAAGAACAAAUCCUCAUAGCAAAAGUGGAGAAUGAAGUCUAGCAACUCCAGAUCGGAUGAGUGGGGUUUCAGGGAGUAAAACUAACGAAAGAACUCGUUUAUCUGGUAGUGACUUGGUGCUAAUCAAUCAAGAUCAUAAGAUGCAUAAAGUUAUCAGGGCUAAGUCUGUAUCUGGUUUGGGUGCACUAGCAUCAUUAAUUCAUAUGAUGCUUGUUCCAGCUUUGUUUCACAAACAAAGUUCCGAUAUUUCCUUCUAGUUACUAAAGCCAUGGAGAAAAAGUGCAACAGGACUGCUAAUAGGAAGGUUGGUUGGUAUGGAGUUUCUAAAGAAGAAAUAUGGUUUUGUCCAAGUUCUGUCAUGGAGUUCAAUUUUCUGCUCCUGAUUACCUUCUUGAUUGUCUCCAAACUUCUAUUCAAGACUAAGGCAUUUAUUGAUUUGCGAAUUGGUUCUAGGAAGAUUGGAAGUAGUAACUCCUUGUUCACAACAGUUUAAACCAAGUUCAGGGGAUGUUUAUUCUGGGGUUGACAACUUGAUAUCUCCAAGAAGUAUAUAGUUUGGAGUAGUCGCCUCAGUACACAUAUCUUCUCUGAAGUCGUAGUCAGUUUCAGAGCUUCGUCUCAUUCAGAAGGGAUUGAUGAAUUUCCAACUCUUUCAAAGAAUUAAAUUUACCAAGGAUUUCCUUUGAUGGUUUGUAUCACUAGAUUAUCAAAUAUCUUGCCUCUCAUGCUAUCAAGUUGAUAAGAAAAUAUCAGAAUGAUCAUCAAAAGGGAAAGAUCACCGUGCAAGAAUUUGUUAGGCAAGUGAGGGAAGUAGCAGGAAACAGUUUGUUGAUUGCAAUCGUAAACUCUAUCUGGUCUUAGGUAACAAUCACCACCUCUUCAUUGAAGCAAUCAUUAGACCUUGUCUUGCACUAAAAAUCCCCUGUCACAGUACUUGCAAUAUUUCUUCCUCAUAAGUCAUGGUAGUGUCAAAUUGUCAAUUAACUAGCUCAAUGUUAUUAAAAGCUAUUGCUUUGUUUCUUCAUUGCAUGAAGCAGAGCGAAGCAAUGGUUAUCCGACACAAAUUUAGUGUUACAAGACGAGAUUCAGGUUUCACCCCCUUGUAUUUAAUGAGUGAUAAUGAUAUUGUUUUGGAUGUGAGUGGAGAAGAGAAGUUGUUUGUCUACAAUAAGAAAGAUAAACAGUGGAGAGAUUUGAAUGUUGAUGGAAUAAUUACUAAGUUUGGAAGGACUAGAACUUUCAUGGAGAGUCUUGUCUCUCCUAUGUUUGGCCUUGAUGCAAUAUUCUGAGAUGAUGUUGUACUCAGGGAACUUGGACAAUCUAUGGAAUUGAUUGUUAGAGAACUUGGACAGAGCCAUUGAGCCCUGGAUCUCACUAUAUUUUAGUUCCAGGAGUGUUGCUCUUUAAUUAUGAUGUUAUAAAAUGGAUACUAUUUUAGAUCUUAAGAAGAUCACUAUCGUAGAAGGAGAGUUUUUGAAGUAGACUUGCAUUUGUGAUUUGUAUACUGUGUAGUAUACAAUGAACAACAGUAUAGCAUCGUAAGGAGAAACCGGUUCCCGAUGUAGUUGAUUGUUGACAUCUCAAUUGAGUUUCUUAAUAUCAGAUGAUAGAUGAUCUCAGUAACUAUGUAUGCACAUUUAGCAGGAUAUUUUACAUCAAGUCUUCCCAUUUUAUGAAA
RNA transcript from Nicotiana tabacum (common tobacco), 3426 nucleotides. It is a transcript of the gene named F-box/kelch-repeat protein At3g06240-like, with no coding region annotated. The record is from RefSeq and is a predicted model, not a curated record. NCBI's taxonomy places the organism in Eukaryota, Viridiplantae, Streptophyta, Magnoliopsida, Solanales, Solanaceae.